RNAcentral lists this transfer RNA (75 nucleotides) under Aciduliprofundum boonei T469. RNAcentral describes it as "tRNA-Gly". It matches the Rfam family "tRNA". From Rfam's summary of the family: Transfer RNA (tRNA) molecules are approximately 80 nucleotides in length. Their secondary structure includes four short double-helical elements and three loops (D, anti-codon, and T loops). Lineage: Archaea; Methanobacteriati; Thermoplasmatota. The record is from RNAcentral.
GCGGGUGUAGUCUAGUGGUUAGGACGGAGGCUUCCCAAGCCCCUGACCCGGGUUCAAAUCCCGGCACCCGCACUA